UACGGGAGGCAGCAGUGGGGAAUAUUGCACAAUGGGCGCAAGCCUGAUGCAGCCAUGCCGCGUGUAUGAAGAAGGCCUUCGGGUUGUAAAGUACUUUCAGUCGUGAGGAAGGUGUUAAGGUUAAUAACCUUAGCAAUUGACGUUAGCGACAGAAGAAGCACCGGCUAACUCCGUGCCAGCAGCCGCGGUAAUACGGAGGGUGCGAGCGUUAAUCGGAAUUACUGGGCGUAAAGGGCACGCAGGCGGUUAAUUAAGUUGGAUGUGAAAUCCCCGGGCUUAACCUGGGAAUGGCAUUCAAGACUGGUUAGCUAGAGUCUUGUAGAGGGGGUAGAAUUCCAUGUGUAGCGGUGAAAUGCGUAGAGAUGUGGAGGAAUACCUGUGGCGAAAGCGGCCUCCUAAACGGAAUACUGACACUGAGUGCGAAAGCGUGGGGAGCAAACAGGGAUUAGAUACC
RNAcentral lists this ribosomal RNA (454 nucleotides) under uncultured bacterium. RNAcentral's name for it is "bacterial SSU rRNA". It matches the Rfam family "Bacterial small subunit ribosomal RNA", at positions 340 to 786 of the family's 1533-position model. The record is from RNAcentral.